GAUGAACGCUGGCGGCGUGCCUAAUACAUGCAAGUCGAGCGAACAGACGAGGAGCUUGCUCCUCUGACGUUAGCGGCGGACGGGUGAGUAACACGUGGAUAACCUACCUAUAAGACUGGGAUAACUUCGGGAAACCGGAGCUAAUACCGGAUAACAUGUUGAACCGCGUGGUUCAACAGUGAAAGACGGUCUUGCUGUCGCUUAUAGAUGGAUCCGCGCCGCAUUAGCUAGUUGGUAAGGUAACGGCUUACCAAGGCAACGAUGCGUAGCCGACCUGAGAGGGUGAUCGGCCACACUGGAACUGAGACACGGUCCAGACUCCUACGGGAGGCAGCAGUAGGGAAUCUUCCGCAAUGGGCGAAAGCCUGACGGAGCAACGCCGCGUGAGUGAAGAAGGUCUUCGGAUCGUAAAACUCUGUUAUUAGGGAAGAACAAAUGUGUAAGUAACUAUGCACGUCUUGACGGUACCUAAUCAGAAAGCCACGGCUAACUACGUG
This 497-nucleotide ribosomal RNA is filed under the name uncultured bacterium. Its description in RNAcentral is "partial 16S ribosomal RNA". It matches the Rfam family "Bacterial small subunit ribosomal RNA", at positions 28 to 507 of the family's 1533-position model. The record is from RNAcentral.